AAGAUUCUCCGCCGCUAGUAAACAAAUUUAGAGCACUCAAAAGUACAGAAAAAUUGGAAUCUGAGUUUCAACGCCGCUCAUCACAUUUUUAAACCCUUGAACGCAUGUGGUUUCAUAUAGGUAUGUGAUUUUCCCUUCUUUAUGGCAUUGUGAUUUCGAGCCUUUGUAAUGAAGUUCGUGGAAGAUUAUAUAACUCUUUUGGUUCCCAAGGAUAUUGGUGGUGAUUAGGCGAGCCCGCUUUCUUCACUCCGGAAAUGCGAGAGAAAGUGAGAGACAAAGCAUGUUCUCUUUUUGCGAGAUCUCCACUAUGUAAAUCAGUAAGAUUGUUUCUCAUUUUUCUUAUGGAUAUAACUUUAUUUUUUCCACUAUUAUGUUUUACAAGCAAUCCACUUUAGAUAUUUAUUUUUCAUUGAACUAUAAUGUUUAUG
RNAcentral lists this long non-coding RNA (428 nucleotides) under Capsella rubella. RNAcentral's name for it is "long non-coding RNA (CRUB_LNC000805)". The record is from RNAcentral. Lineage: Eukaryota; Viridiplantae; Streptophyta; Magnoliopsida; Brassicales; Brassicaceae.